CUAUGAUUCACAGUUCCAUCAGACUUAGGGGUGUGCUGAGGACGGGCACGGGGGCCAUACAGCAAUAACAGAUAUCAUAUAUGAUUAUUCCAUCCAAAUUCAAUCAUCGCCCUGCACAUGUUCUAAUAUCGAGAAUUCGAGUUACCCAAAUGCAGAAUCGCGUCCACCUACAAGAAAUCAAGAUUAUCCGAUGGGACAGAACGAUUGGAUCGCAUUGGAACGAUAUGGAGGGGAGUGGGCUGAAAUCUGGUUCGUGCAUGAGUCCAUGCAAAUGAGUCUCGGAGACAGGACGGACAGAAAUACGUACAGCGAGGAGCGUCAGAACUGAACCAGUUCCAAAAUGUGAG
This 347-nucleotide long non-coding RNA is filed under the name Drosophila guanche. The record is from RNAcentral. Lineage: Eukaryota; Metazoa; Arthropoda; Insecta; Diptera; Drosophilidae.